Mauremys reevesii (Reeves's turtle) is the source of this 1061-nucleotide long non-coding RNA. RefSeq lists it as uncharacterized. The record is from RefSeq and is a predicted model, not a curated record. NCBI's taxonomy places the organism in Eukaryota, Metazoa, Chordata, Testudines, Geoemydidae. The transcript is spliced from 3 exons.
GGGCACUGGCAGAGGUGGGGUGGGGAGCCCAGGCCUGGGAUAGCAGGGAGCUGUGGGUUGGGGCUGAGGGGCACCAGCAAAGCACAGGGCUGGGUAGCAGGCAGAGAGAUGCCCUGUAGGUUGAGACCAGUUCCGUAACAAGGGCGAGGCGAGUGAGGCACUUGCCUCAGGUGCGCAAAGCUGAGGGGCACAGAAAAAGAUGAUGUCAGUGCGUUUGUCUGCAGAUAUAACUGUCAUUUGAGUAAUCGAGUUCUAGUAUUCCCAGUGAGCACACGCUUAUUAUGUAUUAGGACUUUUCGGAUCCGCUUAAGACCCACCAAGUGAUUGUAAAAAAAACGGCUGAAAAUAUAGAAAUACCAGCAGAAUUGAUUGAAUCCAGAAAGCGAAAAGUAAAAAGGCAGCAACUUUAUGAGUGUGCAGAUGAAUCUUCUAAUUUAUCAGCUGAUCUUUCAAGGUGAUUCGCUUGUUAAAAUGGACACUACUAAUCUUCAAAAAGCAGCAGUGGAUUUAAGACUCAAAUAUGACAGCGAUUUGAAUGCCUCCGAAAUGUCAUCAGAGAUUCAGAGUUUUAAACAUCAGGCGUCAGCGCUGUUUCCACACGUUUCAUGCACAACUAGUUUGGACCUUCUCCAGUUAAUUCAUUAAUAUAAUUUGGCCGAAUCUUAUCCAGAUUUAGAAAUUGCAUUAAGAAUAUUUCUCUGCAUGCCAGUAACUGUGGCUUCUUGCAAAAGAAGCUUCAGAAAGCUCCUAUUAAUUAAAAACUACCUUCAAGCAACCACGGGUCAGGAGAGAUUAACAAAUAUGUCCAUCUUGUCAAUAGAACAUGAAGUAGUGAAUGAUAUUAAUUUUGAUGCAAUUAUCGAUGAUUUUGCCUCAUUAAAAGCGCAAAAAGUACAAUUUUGAAAAAUAACCAUUAAUCGUAUCUGAUAUGGUUCUACAGCUAAAUUGUAUUUGUGAUUAUUUAAAUAGUAUGUUCCAUGCACUAGGAUGCACACCUUAUAUGUAUUAGUUGAUUUUGUACGUGGAACUUAUUAAAAUAAAUAAACAUUCUACUAUCAUUA